RNAcentral lists this small nuclear RNA (95 nucleotides) under Gossypium hirsutum (cotton). Lineage: Eukaryota; Viridiplantae; Streptophyta; Magnoliopsida; Malvales; Malvaceae. The record is from RNAcentral.
UUCCCCUUCGGGGACAUCCGAUAAAAUUGGAACGAUACAGAGAAGAUUAGCAUGGCCCCCACGCAAGGACAAAUCGAGAAAUGAUUCAAAAUUUU